Molecule: long non-coding RNA, 140 nt
Organism: Melanotaenia boesemani (Boeseman's rainbowfish)
Lineage: Eukaryota; Metazoa; Chordata; Actinopteri; Atheriniformes; Melanotaeniidae
Exons: 3
Source: RefSeq, a predicted model, not a curated record
CUCUGAGGUCAGUAAUCUACUUUGUGGUCAGUAAUCUACUCUGAGGUCAGUGAUCUUCUCUGAGGUCAGUAAUCCAAUCCGAGGUCAGUAAUCUACACUGAGGUCAGUAAUCUACUCUGAGGUCAGUAAUCUACUCCGAG